GCCGUCGGCAUCUGGCACUGUGGUUCCUGCAUGAAAACAUUGGCCGGCGGGGCCUAGACCUACACCACCACCUCUGCAGUCACAAUGAAGUCUGCC
Molecule: microRNA precursor, 96 nt
Filed under: Mus spretus (western wild mouse)
Lineage: Eukaryota; Metazoa; Chordata; Mammalia; Rodentia; Muridae
Description: predicted gene, 56058 (ENSMSPG00010037042.1)
Source: RNAcentral